GAGAGAAAAGGGCGAGUGGCCGGCAGCCGCCUGAGACUGCCGUUUUCUGGUGAAUACUUCUGUCCUAUCGAAUAUCAUCAAUUGGUUUUUGUUUUGUUUUACUUUUAAUUGUUAAAUGUUAUAUGAUGUUUGAAUAAAACUAAUGGUUAUUUAUUGUGAGGAUAAUACAGAUGUGAAGGAAUACGAAAAGAUGCACAUAACGCUGACAAGGCAGACAUUAUAUAAAUAAAUGGUGUCUGCUUCAAAAAAAUACCAAUUUGCUGAUGCACAAAAGCACCACCACCACAGCCAAAAACAGGCCGCGUCAUAUUUGUACAAGCUUCUCCUUUGGUUGAAUUUUAGGUGCUGAAGUCCCCGUCUAUUUGAAUCAAAAGGACCCAGUUAGACCAUUAAUUGACUAACUGAUUGUUGAAUGCAAGGUGCUUACUUGGUAAAAUCUAUUUAGUAUCCACAGAUUGUAAGCAAGUUAUUUCCCCUUGAAUCAGUCCAGCAGUCCGAUUCCACUUCAUAAAAUAUCAUCCUUGAUGAAAGUAGAAGUUAUAGGGAAUGACCUUUGUGACAGUCGGAGAAGCAUACCUCAAUUUUUUAAAUGUAGAACUGGAGAGGUACAUAGGGAGGCUGCGUCCAAUUCAAUUUAUCAACUAUGCAUGAUCCAUACCCAACUAUGCAGCGAAGACACGAAUGGGUGAAAGAGAAACAACAGUGAGACGAGAAG
RNAcentral lists this long non-coding RNA (715 nucleotides) under Cucumis sativus (cucumber). Its description in RNAcentral is "long non-coding RNA (CSAT_LNC001569)". The record is from RNAcentral. Lineage: Eukaryota; Viridiplantae; Streptophyta; Magnoliopsida; Cucurbitales; Cucurbitaceae.